This 711-nucleotide long non-coding RNA is filed under the name Cricetulus griseus (Chinese hamster). RNAcentral describes it as "lncRNA (ENSCGRG00015042988.1)". The record is from RNAcentral. Lineage: Eukaryota; Metazoa; Chordata; Mammalia; Rodentia; Cricetidae.
AAGACUUCCUUGCUGGCAACAACAGAAGAACUGAGCCUAGUUCCAGCCCCUGAAUGAAGUGGGCCCUGGACCAUCUCAAGCUGUGAUCACAAGCUUUGCCUACACUCCUCCUAUCCAAAGAAAGAAGAUGUUCAGCUGAGCCAAUUUUGCCUGCUCUGAUAAAAGCCCAGCAAAUGGCCAAAUGCUCAAGUCUGGGUUUUUCCUGUUUCCUGUUGAACCUUCUCUACAGCAUCCUCCAGCUGCCAUUCAUCCCCAGCCCCAAAUGGCACAGGUGACUGGGUCCCAAAUGCCACAGGAGUUAGCUGCCCACCACCAGCCAGCUCUGUCAUUCAGGUGGCCCUUGUCCUCACGUCUGCACAUCCCCUCAUGUCUGCUUUUCAGGCCCUAGCUCCCUUGGCCCAUGGGUUGUGCGGGCUUCCCCUGGGCCACUCCCACCCCCAGCUGCUAGUCCCGAAUUCUAUAAGAAAGCAGGCUGAGCAAGCCAUGAGGAGCAAACCAGUAAGCAGCACCCUUCCAUGGCCUCUGCAUCAGCUCCUGCCUUCAAGACCCUGCCCUGUUUGAGUUCCUGUCCUGACUUCCUUCAGUGAUGGACUAUGAUGUGGAAGUGUAAGCCCAAUAAACCCUGUCUUCAAGUUGCUUUGGUUACGGUUUUUCAACCUAACAAUAGAAUCCAUAGCUAAUGUGUAUGUGUGUGAUAUGUGUGUAUGGGGG